Apis dorsata (giant honeybee) is the source of this 641-nucleotide long non-coding RNA. RefSeq lists it as uncharacterized. Lineage: Eukaryota; Metazoa; Arthropoda; Insecta; Hymenoptera; Apidae. The transcript is spliced from 2 exons. The record is from RefSeq and is a predicted model, not a curated record.
GUAAGUCUAGGGAAAAUGAAGAUCUUUAGUAUUGCAUUGUAGCGUAUUUGUAUUUUGGUGACACUUCAGCAUAAUAGAAAGAAUAAUUACCAGGACAAUUUCAACAGCACCGAUGAUAUACAUAGCAGCAGCUAGAGUAGUACCCGUGUAAAAGAGCAUUCCUACGGCACCACCGAAUUCUGGACCCAAACUUCUGGAUAUCAUGAAGUAAGACCCUCCAGCUGGUACGACGCCAUUAGUCGCGAUAGCACUCAUACUGAUAGCUGUCAGCAUCGUCUAUAUAGAGAAAUAUUUUUUGCUUAAAAUAAUCAAGCUCGGCCAUAAAUGAUUCAAUUUAUUACACGAUUAAUCAUGAGAUUAAUCCUUAAUUCGUGUCGCCAUUAAUCUCUACACGCAUUCAAUCAAUAUUGAUUGGAUCAAUUCAUAUCCAUUAUAUUGAAACUUCACUUACCACGCAACAACAACAUAACACGAUGAAGAAACCCUGAAAAGCGCCAGCGGUGCCAACGACCCAGGUCAAACGAAUGAAUAGAAUCACACCAAAGAUGUUUUGGAUGCAAGGUAGGAAGACACCGAUCAAAGUGCCCAUUCGUGCACCACCUUGCACGGGUGGAGGUUUCGCAUCCGGGUCGGUCGCAGCU